RNAcentral lists this ribosomal RNA (506 nucleotides) under uncultured bacterium. RNAcentral describes it as "partial 16S ribosomal RNA". It matches the Rfam family "Bacterial small subunit ribosomal RNA", at positions 30 to 523 of the family's 1533-position model. The record is from RNAcentral.
UUUGAACGCUGGCGGCAGGCCUAACACAUGCAAGUCGAACGGCAGCACAGAAGAGCUUGCUCUUUGGGUGGCGAGUGGCGGACGGGUGAGUAAUGUCUGGGAAACUGCCCGAUGGAGGGGGAUAACUACUGGAAACGGUAGCUAAUACCGCAUAACGUCGCGAGACCAAAGUGGGGGACCUUCGGGCCUCACACCAUCGGAUGUGCCCAGAUGGGAUUAGCUAGUAGGUGGGGUAAUGGCUAACCUAGGCGACGAUCCCUAGCUGGUCUGAGAGGAUGACCAGCCACACUGGAACUGAGACACGGUCCAGACUCCUACGGGAGGCAGCAGUGGGGAAUAUUGCACAAUGGGCGCAAGCCUGAUGCAGCCAUGCCGCGUGUAUGAAGAAGGCCUUCGGGUUGUAAAGUACUUUCAGCGGGGAGGAAGGCGGUGAGGUUAAUAACCUUGCCGAUUGACGUUACCCGCAGAAGAAGCACCGGCUAACUCCGUGCCAGCAGCCGCCGUAA